GCCAGCAUCACCUGCAGUUGCAAAACACAACGCAGACGAAGCCAAUACAUCCACCCGUACAAACCCUGAACCGUCAACAAAAGAAAGAGAGAAGCUCUUUCAGCUUACCUCGCGGCGUCGCUGAUCUUGUCCCUGUAGUCACCCUGACCUCUCACAGCUGCGCCGGACCUCGGCACGGCGGCGGCGUUCGCCGCCGGCGGGCAGACAGACACGGCGCGGUAUCGGUCGUCCUGCGCGUGCGCGACGAAGCCGGUCACGGUCUGCGUCGCCGGAGCUUGCACGUGAUGAGGCGGCGGCCGCACGGACGACAUGGCUCCAUUGCCACCAGCAGCAGCUGGUGCUGCAGCGUCGUCGGCGACGAGGCGUGCCUGACGCCGGCGGCGCCGGCGCAGCACGCGCACUGGUCGGCCUGGCGGCGGAGCGCGGCGUUCUCGGCGCGCAGGGCGGCGUUGUCGCGGCGGAGGCAGGAGACCUCGCGGUAGCACCCCUCGGAGGGGUCGCGCUCCCGCCACCGCGCCUCCCAGGUGAGCGUCUCGGCGGCGCGGCGGCGCGCCGCCUCGGUGGCGUUGGCCUUGAUGAGCUUGGUGAGGUUGGCCACCCCGAAGACGAGGUGCAGCGCGCGGAAGUCGUUCAUCCUGUUCGCCGGGAAGUAGGCGGCCAGCUCGCAGUUGGGCUCGCACUUGCGCCGCUGGUGCUUGCACACCGCGCACGCCCC
Molecule: small RNA, 715 nt
Filed under: Oryza sativa Japonica Group (Japanese rice)
Lineage: Eukaryota; Viridiplantae; Streptophyta; Magnoliopsida; Poales; Poaceae
Description: sRNA Os01g0242450
Source: RNAcentral